GGGCCCGCACAAGCGGUGGAGCAUGUGGUUUAAUUCGAUGCAACGCGAAGAACCUUACCUACUCUUGACAUCCAGAGAAGCCAGCGGAGACGCAGGUGUGCCUUCGGGAACUCUGAGACAGGUGCUGCAUGGCUGUCGUCAGCUCGUGUUGUGAAAUGUUGGUUAAGUCCCGCAACGAGCGCAACCCUUGUCCUUGUUUGCCAGCGAGUAAUGUCGGGAACUCCAGGGAGACUGCCGGUGAUAAACCGGAGGAAGGUGGGGACGACGUCAAGUCAUCAUGGCCCUUACGAGUAGGGCUACACACGUGCUACAAUGGCGCAUACAAGGACAGGCAGCAUAGCGAUAGUGAG
This 350-nucleotide ribosomal RNA is filed under the name uncultured bacterium. Its description in RNAcentral is "bacterial SSU rRNA". It matches the Rfam family "Bacterial small subunit ribosomal RNA", at positions 917 to 1267 of the family's 1533-position model. The record is from RNAcentral.